AGCUCGACCGGGUCCACGCCGCGGGUGACCGUCAGGUAGUCGCGGAUCGCGACGCCGUGCCGUCCCUC
Molecule: small RNA, 68 nt
Filed under: Actinoplanes xinjiangensis
Lineage: Bacteria; Bacillati; Actinomycetota; Actinomycetes; Micromonosporales; Micromonosporaceae
Description: ASdes TB sRNA
Rfam family: ASdes TB sRNA
Source: RNAcentral